RNAcentral lists this ribosomal RNA (2985 nucleotides) under Candidatus Kuenenia stuttgartensis. RNAcentral's name for it is "bacterial LSU rRNA". It matches the Rfam family "Bacterial large subunit ribosomal RNA". Lineage: Bacteria; Pseudomonadati; Planctomycetota; Candidatus Brocadiia; Candidatus Brocadiales; Candidatus Brocadiaceae. The record is from RNAcentral.
UUAAGGGCAUACGGUGGAUGCCUUGGCACGUAAAGGCGAUGAAGGACGCGACUACCAGCGAUAUUCCUCGGUUAGGCGGAAGUAGCCUGAGAUCCGAGGGUUUCCGAAUGGGGCAACCCUGUUCCGGUAAUGCGGAGCAAUCCAUAUCUGAAUCCAUAGGAUAUGUGAAGCGAACCUGGGGAACUGAAACAUCUAAGUACCCAGAGGAAGAGAAAACAAAAGUGAUUUUCCGAGUAGUGGCGAGCGAAAGGGAAACAGCCUAAACCAUUCAACAUGUUAAAGGAUGCAACCGUUGUGUUGUUGGUGUUGUGGGGCUUGUUCAGACUGAAUUGCAGAUAAGUCGAAGAGUAAAAAACUGUUUUAUUAACCGAAUGUUCUGGAAAGUUCAACUAUAAAAGGUGAUAGUCCUGUAGGUGAAAAUAAAACAGCUCUUUGGAAUAAGUUCCCGAGUACCGCGAAAUAAGUGGAAGUUUGUGGGAAACUGCCAGAACCAUCUGGUAAGGCUAAAUACUAAUACGUGACCGAUAGUGAAGAAGUACCGUGAGGGAAAGGUGAAAAGUACUCCUAACAGGAGAGUGAAAUAGUACCUGAAACCGUAUGCUUACAAGCAGUUGGAGUCUCGAUUUAUCGGGAUGACAGCGUGCCUUUUGGAUAAUGAGCCUACGAGUUACUCUUACGUUGCAAGGUUAAUUCCCUUAGGGAAGUAGCCGUAGCGAAAGCAAGUCUGAAAUGGGCGUUAAGUAACGUGAGGUAGACGCGAAACCGUGUGAUCUACCCUUGUCCAGGAUGAAGUGAGGGUAAAACCUCAUGGAGGUCCGAACCAGUACGGGUUGAAAACCGUUUGGAUGAGGUGAGGGUAGGGGUGAAAGGCCAAUCAAACUCGGAGAUAGCUCGUACUCCUCGAAAUAGCUUUAGGGCUAGCCUCGAGUUAAAGUUUGCCGGAGGUAGAGCACUGAUUGGGCUAGGGCUGUCACAACGGUACCAAACCCAGACAAACUCCGAAUUCCGGACAAAUGUUUCUCGGGAGUCAGGCAGUGGGGGAUAAGCUUCAUUGCCAAGAGGGGAACAACCCAGACCACCAUCUAAGGCCCCUAAACGAUAGUUAACAGAGAAAGGAUGUUGAGUUGCUCAGACAACUAGGAUGUUGGCUUAGAAGCAGCCAUUCAUUUAAAGAGUGCGUAAUAGCUCACUAGUCAAGCGACUCAGCGCCGACAAUUUGCGGGACUAAAACUAUCUGCCGAAGGUGUGGACUCAGUAAUGAGUGGUAGAGGAGCAUUCUAUAUGCACCGAAGGUGUAUCGCGAGAUAUGCUGGAGCGUAUAGAAAAGCAAAUGUAGGCAUAAGUAACGAUAAUGCAGAUGAAAAAUCUGCACGCCGAAAGUCUAAGGUUUCCUGAGCAAUGUUAAUCAUCUCAGGGUUAGUCGGACCCUAAGCCGAGGCUGAAAGGCGUAGGCGAUGGAAAACAGGUCAACAUUCCUGUACCUGGUAAAAUUCGUUUGACUAUAAGGAGGGACGCAGAAGUGAAGGUAAGCCGCCUGUCGGAUUAGGUGGUCUAAGCGUGUAGGUUGAAAGAGUAGGCAAAUCCGCUCUUUCUUAAGACCGAGGCGCGAACGGGAGUCCUUUGGACACAAACUUACCGUAAUCAUACUGCCAAGAAAAUCUUCGUAUGGGAGAGUUUUAUCAGUCCGUACCGCAAACCGACACAGGUAGACGGGAUGAGUAUUCUAAGGCGCUCGAGUGAUUCGUGGUUAAGGAACUCGGCAAAUUAACCCCGUAACUUCGGGAGAAGGGGUGCCUCAAGUAAGUGAAAUUAAUUCUAGUGGAGCUGAAAGAGGCCGCAGUGAAAAGGCCCAGGCGACUGUUUAACAAAAACACAUGUCUCUGCGAAGUCAAUCAAGACGAUGUAUAGGGACUGACACCUGCCCGGUGCUGGAAGGUUAAGAGGAGGGGUUAGCGCAAGCGAAGCUCUGAAUCGAAGCCCCAGUAAACGGCGGCCGUAACUAUAACGGUCCUAAGGUAGCGAAAUUCCUUGUCGGGUAAGUUCCGACCUGCACGAAUGGUGUAACGAUCUGGGCACUGUCUCGACCACGAGCUCGGUGAAAUUGUGGUACCGGUGAAGACGCCGGUUACCCGCAUAUGGACGGAAAGACCCCGUGAACCUUUACUGCACCCUAACAUUGGGUUCGGUUAAAUCAUGUGUAGGAUAGGUGGGAGACUUUGAAGCCGGGCCGCUAGGUUCGGUGGAGUCAUCGGUGAAAUACCACCCUUGGUUUAGUUGGAUUCUAACCUCGAGCCUUGAAUCAGGUUCAGGAACAGUGUUAGGCGGGUAGUUUGACUGGGGCGGUCGCCUCCCAAAUUGUAACGGAGGCUCUCAAUGGUUCCCUCAGCAUGGUUGGUAAUCAUGCGUUGAGUGCAAAGGCAUAAGGGAGCUUAACUGUGAGACAUACAGGUCGAACAGAUACGAAAGUAGGACUUAGUGAUCCGGCGGUAGCGAGUGGAAGUGCCGUCGCUCAAAGGAUAAAAGGUACUCCGGGGAUAACAGGCUGAUCUUGCCCAAGAGUUCAUAUCGACGGCAAGGUUUGGCACCUCGAUGUCGGCUCAUCGCAUCCUGGGGCUGGAGAAGGUCCCAAGGGUUUGGCUGUUCGCCAAUUAAAGCGGUACGUGAGCUGGGUUCAGAACGUCGUGAGACAGUUCGGUCCCUAUCCUAUGCGGGCGCAGGAUACUUGAGAAGAUUCGUUUCUAGUACGAGAGGACCGAAGCGAACAAACCUCUAGUGUACCAAUUGUCACGCCAGUGGCAGCGUUGGGUAGCUAUGUUUGGAAGUGAUAAGCGCUGAAAGCAUCUAAGUGCGAAGCACACUUCAAGAUUAGGUAUCCCUGUCGAAAGACACUAAAGACUCCUUGAAGAUGACAAGGUUGAUAGGCUGCAGAUGUAAGUGUGGUAACAUAUUUAGUCGAGCAGUACUAAUAAGUCGUGAGACUUAACC